RNAcentral lists this ribosomal RNA (395 nucleotides) under uncultured bacterium. RNAcentral's name for it is "partial 16S ribosomal RNA". It matches the Rfam family "Bacterial small subunit ribosomal RNA", at positions 523 to 918 of the family's 1533-position model. The record is from RNAcentral.
AUACGUAGGGUGCAAGCGUUAAUCGGAAUUACUGGGCGUAAAGCGUGCGCAGGCGGUUUUGUAAGACAGUGGUGAAAUCCCCGGGCUCAACCUGGGAACUGCCAUUGUGACUGCAAGGCUGGAGUGCGGCAGAGGGGGAUGGAAUUCCGCGUGUAGCAGUGAAAUGCGUAGAUAUGCGGAGGAACACCGAUGGCGAAGGCAAUCCCCUGGGCCUGCACUGACGCUCAUGCACGAAAGCGUGGGGAGCAAACAGGAUUAGAUACCCUGGUAGUCCACGCCCUAAACGAUGUCAACUGGUUGUUGGGGAUUUAGUUUCUCAGUAACGAAGCUAAAGCGUGAAGUUGACCGCCUGGGGAGUACGGCCGCAAGGUUAAAACUCAAAUGAAUUGACGGGG